This 8620-nucleotide long non-coding RNA is filed under the name Medicago truncatula (barrel medic). Its description in RNAcentral is "long non-coding RNA (MTRU_LNC002525)". The stretch from base 3065 to 3264 matches the Rfam family "MIR2619 microRNA precursor family". The record is from RNAcentral. Lineage: Eukaryota; Viridiplantae; Streptophyta; Magnoliopsida; Fabales; Fabaceae.
UCAUGUUCACUGAUGAUAGUAGCUAGACUUGGUAAAUUGGAGGAUGGAUUAGUUGUAAUUAGGAUUGGCCAAAACAUAACCCUCAAUGGCCUUGAAAAGAGCAUCCCCCUUGGCUUUGCCUUCCUCAACCUCCUUUUCAAUUGGCUUAGCAUCUCCUUUGGUUUGGUAUUUAACGGUCGUCUUUCCAAUAGACCCUCCAUUUGAGCCUUCAACCAAUUUCGCUUCAAAUGAUAUCUUUUCGACUGUCUCUGGCAACCCGACUCCUCCAACUAUACUAUAGUUAUGGUGGCAUUUAGCAUGGGAAUGGAGAGUUAUAUCUCAAGUUUGCUUCAUCAAUUUGGUGCAACACAUACAAGGUUUGUCCCCACAAGCAAAUUAAGUUUGCCCCCACAAACAAAAAUUUCUUGAUCCAUUACUGAAUUUGUGUACUAUAUGUUGACGGGAGUGGUUAUGGUGCAUAAGGAUUUCCUUAUGCACCGUGCAUAAUUGCUUCAUACACCUCAACCCAUUUUUUCAUACACCCCCCAAACGCAUCUCUAUUUUCAUUUCUGUCUAAAACCAAACGAAACCAAACGUUGUGUUCAUCAUCAUCACUGCGUGCAUCACACAACCACCGUCAGUUCAAAACCACCGUCGCUAAGGAAGAACUAUUUUGCUGUGGAAAUAGUUUCUAUGAGUUGUACUCAAAAUUUGGGGUUUACUACGUCUACACUUACUUAUAUACAUUGGGCUCCGAUUUUUUGUGGUAGUCCCGAUGGUACAAUUGACUCCGAUUGGUAACAAAGAUGGUGAUUUUUUUUUUUUAAAAUUAAAAAUAUUUCAAAAAAAAUAAGCAUGAGAGUCGAGAAUAGAAAAUGGCCUGUGCAUAUUCAACUCUACUCGAUUUAUGCUAAUUUUAAUAGUUGACCCGGUAAAAUUGAAGGUUUAUAACGAGUUACUCAAAUAUAGUAGUAACUUGAGGUAAUUAUUUGGGAAAAUUGCAUUGGCCUCCCCUAAAGUUGAUUAAAAUGUUACUAACAUCCCUUCUAGUUUUAAAAUUAACACUAACCUCCCUUAAGCUUUCAUCAAAUACACAAACACUUCCCUUACUUAUUAACACCGUUAGUUUUCAGUUAAUUAUUUCUCUUUCACAAGCCAGUUUGACCUCUCAGUCAUCUUCAAUCAAAAAAACUACCGUCUGACGGUGGUGGGAUUACAAACCUCGAUCGCUUCUUUUUACUGCUUCAUCCCCAUAUCACCAUCAAUAUCUAUUCGUACAUCAUCAUCUUUCUCCACAUCAUUAUUCUCCCUUAUGAGAACUCCCCAACAAUAGUUGUUGAUUGGAAAUAGCAACCCAAAGCUCCAUUGGCUCUUCAUCUUCACAAAUACAAAGAAUUAGAAAUUUUACCAAUCCACACAUAUAUCGUUGAAGGAACAUGAACAAUAAAAACAAUACGAGAAUCAAGAGCUAGCAGCCUAGCAAUAUAUCCUUCAUUAGGUACCGAAUGAUGAGGGUCAUAGGUUAAAUGAGAAGCCACUAAACAUCCUACGAACAUACUAUAAUUAUGACUCGAAGGUAUUAGCAUCUGUGUUUAUUGAUGGAAAGGACGAAGCCGUGAAAGCAACAACUAAGGUUUGUUUUCGACGCCAUCAGCUGUGUGUUUUCUGUUUGACAGUCACCUGGAGGUUCAUGAAACGGAUAUUGAAAGGACAAAAUUAACGGAAAAUUAACAUUGUUAAUAUGGAAGGGAGAUGUUUGUAUAUUUGAUGAGAACUUAAGGGAGGUUUGUGUAAGUUUUAAAACUAAAGGGGGUGUUAGUGUCAUUUCAACGUAACUCAGGGGAGGUGAGAGUAAUUUUCCCUAAUUAUUUUAUCGUUCAAUUUUAUCUUUUAUUUAAACAAUUUAAUUUAGAAUUUGAUCUUUUUCUAUCCAAUCAAAUAAGUGAUUUUUUCCUAUUAAAUAACUGCAUAAUAUUUUACUCCCUCUCCGUUUCAAAAUGAGUGUCACUUUAGCCAAAAAAAAUUGUUUCAAAAUGAAUGUCACUUUACAUUUUCAAUACAACUUUAAUUUUUUUCUUCCAACUUUUUUCUCACACAAUUUUCAAUGCAACUUUAAUUUUGUCUUAUAAAGUAAGGGCAGUUUAGUAAAAACGUUAUAUCCAAUGAUUAUUUCAUUCCAUUUCUUAUAAAUCUGUGUACCAAAGUCUAAAGCGACACUCAUUUUGAAACGGAGGGAGUAUAACUUUCAUUAUUAUUUUUGAUAAAUUGUAAUUUUCAUUAUUUACCCUUCAAAUUUAAACGAGAAACAUUAACAACAUUAAUAUUUAGUCCCAAUUAUUGUUUCAAGAAAAAAAUAGAAACAAAAGAAGAAGGAAAAUAGAAAGUAACAUGUGAAGAGAAAUAAGACAUUGAGAAAAGAAAAUGAAAGAAACGAACACCGUAUGUAAUAUUCUCACGAUGCAAAUUGAAAUGUUUUAUUAUUGGAAUAUAAAGCAAGACAAAGGGAUCAAUGGAUCAUAUUAUAUAAUAAUAACAUAACACUGUCUGAAUUAGUUGCUGUCUUUGUUGUAAUCAGGAUUAGCCAAAAGGAAACUCUCAACUGCCUUUGUGAAACCUUCAAAUCUCUCUAUUCCAGCUUCCAAAUAAUCUUUACUGAGUUCAAUAUCAUCACCUUUGGUAUAGUAUUUGGUUGUUGACUUCACAAUGCAUCCUUCCUCAGGGGUUGGAACCAAUUUGAACUCAAAAACUAUUUUCUCUAGAGGUUGAUCUGACAAAGCAAUACCUUCAUAUACACUGUAAGUGUACGCACAGUUUUCUCUGUCAACCAUAUCUAUGUGUUGCUUCGUAGACCCAAAAUCUGCUCACACAAUUAAUUAAGCGUAUAUUAUAUAAGUGUUUAUGUAUAAAUUAUUUAUAUAUAAGCUGUUUCAUAAAUUAACAUGGAUAGCAUAGCUUAUAAAAUAGUGAGAGGAAUAAGUAUCUAUAUGGUCAAACAAACUUAAUUUAGAUUUAAGACUUAAUUGCACUUUUGGCCCCCUAUCUUUUUUAAAGUUGCGAUUUUGACCCCCUAACUAAUUAAAAUACAAAACAGCCUCUAUGUAUUGGAUCAUUGGCAGUUUUGGCCCCCAAGAUCACUUUUGACUUAGUCUUCGCUGACGUGGCACCCACAAUGAUCGACACGUGGCACCUCACUUAAGGGAUGUGGGUGCCACGUCAGCGAAGACUAUGUCAAAAGUGGUCUUGGGGGCCAAAACUGCCAAAGAUCCAAUACAUAGGGGGCUGUUUUGUAUUUUAAUUAGUUAGAGGACCAAAAUCGCAACUUUUAAAAAGAUAAGGGACCAAAAGUGCAAUUAAGCCUAGAUUUAAUUACCUCCAACAAAAGUUAAUUUCUUAAUGGUUCCUGGGCCACCAUCUCCUUCAAGAGUUUCUGCUUUCUCGAUGAAUCGUGGUAAAGCUUUGGGGUAGAUGAUGUUUCCAUCUUCGACAAUGCCUCUGUAUAGUUUUUCAGCAGAGAGAGAGGAAACAUACUCGCUUUCUGAAGUGAUAACACCCAUGAUAAUUUUUUGACUCUUAAGAAAGUUAAUUAAGAUCAAUGUUCUCUUUCUUUUGGUGUGGAUUGAUAUGUUGGCAUAUGCGUUAAUUUAUAGGCGCUGCAAUGGAGCAAUAGGUCACUGUGGAGUUGCCCCUAGAACACGAAAGUUUAUAAGUAAGUUUUAAUUUUCAAUUUCAUGUUUGCCAAUCUGUAAUAAUUAAUGUGGGGAAAUGCUUGCAUUAUCGUAUAGCAAUUCCUCAAGGUCUUAUUUUAGGCUAGUAUAAAUUAAAAAGUCGCCACUCCCGUGUGGAACAGAUACCUCGAUGAUCUACGGAGGUUAGAUAAACUAGGGCAAGAAAAUGUUGCUUAAAUAUGUUAUUUUAUACUAAUAUGAUCAUCAUAAACAUUUGCGUGCAUACAAUUUCCUUAAAAAAAUAAGAUUGCAUAUGCAUACGGAGAUUGUUUUAUAUAAAUACUAAUUCUUUUUUUAAAGGAUUCAAAUUUGCAUGCAUACAAAGAUUGUUAUAUAUAUAAUUAUUUUGGGUACAACUACAAUGCUUCCUAUAUAUUUAUAUGCCAUAAACACAUUAAAGUUAAUCUGUUCCGCAAAAAAAAUCCUCAAAUAUUUUUAUUUAUACAAAUAUUUUAGAAUGAUUUUUUUUUAAAAUAAAACUAUAUAAGACUUCAAUAAGUUAAAUAUUUUAAGACUUUUUUUUUCACAUUUUAUAAGACUUAAAUGUUUAGAACGUUUUUAGAGAAUUAGUCUUUAAAUUUAAUCUAAUUUAAUACAAAGAUAAUUUAUUCAGACAACCCGAGUUAUAUAACUGAGUCAUUUGAUUCAAUCCAGUUUAGUCACGUGUUUCGAUUGGUGACCCAAUUAUUCGACCAUUAUACCAGUGACCCAAUAGAUGUAUGUUUUAUGACAAAAUCUACUAUAAUAUAAUACAUUUAAUCUCCUCCAAACAAAGAUUUAAUUUGCCUUACCCAGUUAUCAAAACUUAUUUGUUCUUAACUAUAAUUUAAAUUACAAAAGCAUUAAAACCUAUCUGUUUUUUCACAAUUGUUUGAAUAAGUUUUAUAAAAUUACUUUACUUAAAUAUGAAUUUCAACUUCAUCUCUUGCUUCUCUAGCUCCCAGCUAGAAACACACACACUAUGAAAUAUGGGUUAAAUAGAACUCCUAAAAUCAAGCUUCUAUUAUUCUUAACAUUGAUGGUAGCUAGCUGCCUUGACAACCCCUCUAGAGAUGGGUUUGGUGGUUUGCUUCAUCAACUAUAUGGGAUCUGGAUAUUAGGUUUCUUGGGGCUCCUCCUAGGCUCCUUCGAAAUUCUCCAUGCCAAGUUUCAUGUCAUUUAUCAAGGGUUACUUUUGGCUAAACAAUUGAAAGAUCAUGGCGUGGUUUGCUUCACAGACUUUCUUCUUUGUUUAAUAUCCUUUGUGAUCACACAUAAAGAUUUCACAAGUUUACAACUUUGAUUGAAGACUUCAAAGAUUUACUUCAUGAAGAUUGGCGUGUUUACAUUACCCACACUCUCCGAGAAGGAAACAAUCGUGUUGAUUGCUAAUCUAGGUGCUUCAUCUAGCAUAGACAUCAUGAUCCACGCUUCCCCUCAGUUCGGCCUCUCAAACCUCCUCAAUGCGAACUCUAUGGAAACAUGGUUUCGCAGACUGUAGUUUUCUUUUUUUGGUCCUUUAGCUUUGUAACAAAAAAAUGAGUUUUCAAAUGUUCACUACUUCACUUCUUCAAAAGAGAAAUUUUAAAUUGCGGAAUGUGAUACCUAAAGGAGGCGUUACAUAGGGCACUUUGAUACUAUAUAAUAUAAACUCUUGCAGAGUUUUAAAAGUGUCAUUUGUGCCUGUCAUAUACACAGAAAUACCUGAUAGUCGAUCUUUUAGUAGAUUUUGCAAUAUCGGUAGACAUCCACAAAUAUAACUAACCGUUCUUUCCAUAAAGUUGUACGGAAGAUCAUAAAUUUAUAAGUAACUAAAUUUAACAACAACAACAAAUGUAUUUUUUUAGAUAAUGCUUUCAUUUCUAUUGAUUUAGUGAAAAAUCGAGAUACAUAGACAUCAAAUCUCACAGUUCCAUAGCAAAAGGAGAAAUUAACAAGUGAACACUUUAUUUCAAACUUAAAUUAAGAAAACAACAACAAACUGACAAGCACACUCAUUUUUAAUGACGAUAGUAGGAAGGCUUGGUAAGUUGGAGGAUGGAUUUAAAAAAGUAAUGUGUUUUUCAUAUUCCUUGCAUGUGGUUCAACUUGUCAUAGAGGGAACAUCUCAGUUUCAUCAUUAUGUUAAAGAACUAGAGAUUAUUAGAGAUUUCAUGAAAAAAGAUUGGACAAUAGCUAUUAACGUAGAUCCUCUUUUCCUUUUCUCAUGUAAAAAAAAGCCCAAAUAGUAUUUUUAUUAAAAAGGUCUUACCAUAAAACGUAAAACGCGAAGUGAGUUUAGUGAUGUUCUAUCAAUUUGUCACAAGGUUGUUCUAGACAAUACUUCAAAGAUCCUAGCGACAUUAGUGGAUGAAGUGGGUAUCUUAGCUCCAUUGAUAAUGUGGAAUAUUUGAAUCUCUCGCAACAAAUUUAUUUUUAAGGAAACAACUCCUAUGAAGUACUAGAUCAUAACAUCUAUCUUUACUCAGCUACAAGUUUCCAAGCAGGCAUUGGGAAGUCCAACCUCCCACUCUCAUCGAACAACUCGUGAGAUGUGUUGGAAUAAAGGGGAUGAGGAUGCCAUGAUUCUCAAUGUAGAUGGAAGUGCUUAUACUAAUCCAAGGAAUGGAGGGUUUAGCGGCUUGGUGCUUAACCAUGAUGGAACCUUUCAAUUUGGUUUCUAUGGGAGUGUAGGUUUGUCCAAUAUUCUUCAUGCGGAAAAACAAGCGCUUUUAGUGGGCAUCAGACUGUGUUGGCAACCUGGAUUUAAAAAAGUAAUGUGUUUCUUAUAUUCCUUGCAUGUGGUUCAACUUGUCACAAAGGGAACAUCUCAGUUUCAUCAUUAUGCUAAUGAGCUAGAGAUUAUUAGAGAUUUCAUGAAAAAAGAUUGGACAAUAGCUCUGCAUCACGAGAGAAUGCCUACGCAUAUGUGCUAGCAAAGUUAAAAGCUAUUAAAGUAGAUCCUCUUUUCCUUUUCUCGUGUAAAAAAAAAAAGCCCAAAUAGUAUUUUUAUUAAAAAGGUCGUAACGCAAAGAAAGAAAAUGCAUAAUUUUUACCCCAAGAUAAAAACGUACAUCAACAUAGGCUCUUCGUAAAACGAAGCAUGUAAAUAUAGUCAAUUAUCCAUCUAACCAUAGAGACGGGAAAAUUAUUAAUUAAAAAUACAAAAAUUAAACUAGAAUUGGUGGGGUGUACCUAACUCAUGCAAUAGUGCAACACAUGAGAAGCCCAAUAGCAAGCUAUUGAAGUGGCUUCUCCCCCUCAAAAAAGUAAUUUAAUAUCAUGUGAACCAUUGGAACACAUAUCAGAUAUUAAACUGAUAAGAACAGAUACUACACUUGAUCUUAGCCAAAAGGCCGAGAAAGGUAUGAGUUGAAAGAAGAGCUGGCUUCUGCUUUUAUAUCAACUGUCACUUAGUUUCUUUCUUCAUUACCCGAUAUGGGACUUAUAUGCAGUACCACCCUCCAUUGAUAUCAAUUUCUCAACAAAUACUUUUCUACACUGCUGUUGAAAAUUAGUUGGUUAUAAUUCUAAUUAAGGGCUAUUGUAUAAAUUUUGAUGUUAUUAUCUUAAUCAUGGAUCAUCAUUAUUACUUUCUUCAAUCAACUCUUGGAUGAUACUCUUUAAUUUUGUAUCAUUAUCUAUCGAAAAAGCACAUUAUUUUCUUAACAAGAUUGAUGUUGUUUUUUNNNNNNNNNNNNNNNNNNNNNNNNNNNNNNNNNNNNNNNNNNNNNNNNNNNNNNNNNNNNNNNNNNNNNNNNNNNNNNNNNNNNNNNNNNNNNNNNNNNNNNNNNNNNNNNNNNNNNNNNNNNNNNNNNNNNNNNNNNNNNNNNNNNNNNNNNNNNNNNNNNNNNNNNNNNNNNNNNNNNNNNNNNNNNNNNNNNNNNNNNNNNNNNNNNNNNNNNNNNNNNNNNNNNNNNNNNNAUCUCAAAUUAAAAUAGUCUGCAAUUAUACUAACUAUGAGUUUUGAGUUUGAAAAGUUUAAGGCUACGUUCAUAAUCAGGGAAUUCACUUCAGAACUUGUGAUUCUUUUAUGCUACAAAAUUCUCUAUUACUUGACAUUAUCAUCACAAUCAUCUGAGUUAGGAACAAAUUUAACUUAAAAAUUAUCACACAGUCACAGAAAUAAAUUUUAUGCAAAAUUAAUGUUGCUAGAAAGAAGCAGCAAGGAUGGUGUGUAACCGAUUUUCCUCAUGCUAAGCCACAUUCCACCACUACUGCCAAUGGAGGAACAGAUCUGGUGGCAUUUGGUAGUUAAGGCCGAGCCAAUUCAAUACCUCAGUCCAAACCUUCUUAGACACCUCGCAAAAAGGAAAUAAGUGCGUGGAAAAGGAAGACUAAAGGGUCCUGUCACUUAACACACAAUUGAGAGAGGUAUCCGGUGGUAAAGAGUGCCUCCUAGAGAGAUUGGUCCUCGAAGGGAUCCUAUAACGGAGUAGCUUCCAAGAGAAAGUCACAACUUUUUUCAGAGCCGAACUUUUUCAAAUUUGAGUAAACACAACCGAUAAUGGAUUUUGCUCUGAAGAUCAUAUAUUUUAUAAACCAAGUAAAUAAGCUUAACAACAACAUCCAAUCAAAGAAAAAAAACUUAACAACAACAUAAAUAUUAUUUGGAUAGUGAUUUCAUUUGUAUUAAUUUAUUCAUUGAUGAAGUGAGAUACAACAUAAACAUCACAAAUCUCCCAGUUCAAAAGUAAGAAAAGAAACUGACAAGAAAAAACUUUAUUACAUUGGAAGAUUAAGAAGACACAAAAACAACUAGCAAGCACUUGGUAAAUUGGAGGAUGGAUUAGUUGUAAUUAGGAUUGGCCAAAACAUAACCCUCAAUGGCCUUGAAAAGAGCAUCCCCCUUGGCUUUGCCUUCCUCAACCUCCUUUUCAAUUGGCUUAGCAUCUCCUUUGGUUUGGUAUUUAACUGUCGUCUUUCCAACAGACCCUCCAUUUGAGCCUUCAACCAAU